This is a long non-coding RNA of Brassica napus (rape), 1593 nucleotides long. RefSeq lists it as uncharacterized. The record is from RefSeq and is a predicted model, not a curated record. NCBI's taxonomy places the organism in Eukaryota, Viridiplantae, Streptophyta, Magnoliopsida, Brassicales, Brassicaceae. The transcript has 2 exons.
GUUAUACAUUUUUAUUUUAAAUACAAAGAGCCCAAAAUUGUGAUAGAUUAUGAUAAAAUAUAAUAAAAAUAUAUACUUAUUAUUUAUGAUAUUUUGAGACCUAAUAUAAAGAGAGUGAGACUCAAUAGAAAAUCAAUUAUGAAAAAUAAUAUAUAUAUAUAUAUAUAUAUAUAUAUUUAAAUGCUACAAUAAACACAUAUAAGAUUUUUCUCACAAUUGUUCUCAAACACCUUCAUAAUCUUCCAUGUUCUAAAAACACAUGUAUAUUAUUUUUAAUGGCUACACUUUUUUAUUGUUCUAUUUUUUAUUAUUAAAGUAGCAAACAUUUACUUGGAGCCUUGAACAGAAAAAUGUAUUCGCAGGGAAUCCAAAUUCUAUUUAAAGUUAUCUUUUAGAUGAAUUGGGAUAAUACUUUAUAAAAGUAAUACUGAUAUUCUGUUGUUUUAAAAUAUUUCUGCAAACUUUUUUAACAUAUAUUUCUGCAAACUCACGGAUGUACUCCCAAUUUCUUAUUUGCAACAAUUGAAAUAGUAAAUAGAUAACAUAAAUUUCCUAAAGAGAAGUCACAAAACAGAUAUUAAAAUCAAUUUAUAAGUAAAAAGAAGUAGAGAAAUACCUUGUUUCCUUUGUUGUUGAUAAACUUUUAUGUCCCAUUCUUUUUGGAGCUUUCAACAGAAGUAUACUCAAGGGUCAUUUUAAAUCUGAAUUAUUACUGUUUGGGCUCUAUACAUAUGGUAAGUAUGGUGGAGUUUGAGCCUUUGAGGAGACUGUGAGAAAUUGACAAAAAGGAAGACCAAUAAAAGUUAGAAGUUCUUUACUGUUUUGAUCGUUAUAAAAAAGAUUCACAGCCAUAAUAUUGAAACCGUGGAAAGUUAGAGAAGAAGCUAUAUAGAAAAGAAAACAGUUAGAUAAUAAAACGUGGAAUGAAAAUUUUGAGAAAUUUUAGGAAUUGAGGUAGUUGAAAUUGUAGAAAAUAGGAUUUUGUUUUUCAAUUUUUUUUUAAAACUUAUUCCACAUGUCUAAGUUUUAUUGGUUAUGUGACUUGUGCUUUAGUAUACAGAGGAUUUUAUGUCACCCACAAACACAUCUUUUAGAACGACCAAAGUCUUCUUCUUCUACACUUAUAAUUCUUUGUUAAACUCUCUCACAGUUUUUAAAAGGUUUUCAAAUCUGACGUACGCUUGAUCAUCUUUUAUCCCUUUUUCUUUAGUCUCUUGCAUGUUAAGUUAUUGAUUUUCUCUUAUAUUUAUUAUUCUGUUCUUUUACAUGAUUUUUUAUUUAUAAUAAUUAUUGAUUGUUAAAAAAUAUGAAGACAUGGUGAAUUUCAAGAUCAAUGGAGGAUAAAAAUAUGUUCAAGUAUCAAGAUCCAUCUCCACCAUUGGACAAUUUUCAAUUCUUAUUUUACAAGGAGAAGAGAAAGAGUAUACAAAGAAUACUGGAGUUUGUAAGAUGGAAUGAAGAAAGCUGAAACAAAAGCAAGAAUGAUGGCUGAAAUCUAUAUGGAUUGUGUUCGAAAUGUUGUUUUCUCGUUUUUUUUUGUAAAUCAUUUUUUAUCAUGAUAUACAUAACAAAAAAAAUAAUGAAAGUUUUUAA